RNAcentral lists this ribosomal RNA (177 nucleotides) under uncultured bacterium. RNAcentral describes it as "partial 16S ribosomal RNA". It matches the Rfam family "Bacterial small subunit ribosomal RNA", at positions 1325 to 1500 of the family's 1533-position model. The record is from RNAcentral.
GCUGGAAUCGCUAGUAAUCGCGGAUCAGAAUGCCGCGGUGAAUACGUUCCCGGGUCUUGUACACACCGCCCGUCACACCAUGGGAGUCGGAAAUGCCCGAAGCCGGUGACUCAACCUUUAAGGAGAGAGCCGUCGAAGGCAGGUCUGAUAACUGGGGUGAAGUCGUAACAAGGUAUC